CAGAGAACACGACUCCUGUUCACUGAGGUGGCAGCAGCUCUGCUUGGGUGGUGUCAGACAAAGCCAAGAGGAGAACUGCAACUUUGCUUUUGUGAACUUAGGAACAGCAACCACAGUUCUUCCUUCCACACGCAACUCCACCAGCAGUGGAAACCGCUCAGGUUCUGCUCGCAGCAGUGAGGCUGCCCUUCCCUUUCUGCUGGGCUGCUGCUGGAAAGGCAGCAGAAAGGAAGGCUGCAGAGAUUAGCAUUCCUGUUCCCCAAGGCAGGCAACAGGGGGAUCCUUCCACCUCACAAUAAUCUAGGUGGUCCAGCCUGUGUAGUUUGCGAGCCCUUAGAAGGUGCUUCUGUGCGCACUCAUCACCGUGCCUUUCUGACUCCAUCAUCAGCCUUGUUCUAAAGAGCUCUGAGCAGCGAAAGAAGUGGUCUAGCCAUGCCGCCCACCACAGCAACUGCUAGCCACAGGAAAAACAUUAGGGAAAGUUGGCAGAAGUCAUACCAAGAGCCAUGCCACUUAAUACCAAGUGAUGUGCU
Molecule: long non-coding RNA, 533 nt
Organism: Microtus oregoni (creeping vole)
Lineage: Eukaryota; Metazoa; Chordata; Mammalia; Rodentia; Cricetidae
Exons: 4
Source: RefSeq, a predicted model, not a curated record